This 449-nucleotide ribosomal RNA is filed under the name uncultured bacterium. RNAcentral's name for it is "partial 16S ribosomal RNA". It matches the Rfam family "Bacterial small subunit ribosomal RNA", at positions 329 to 794 of the family's 1533-position model. The record is from RNAcentral.
GCCCAGACUCCUACGGGAGGCAGCAGUGGGGGAUAUUGCACAAUGGGGGAAACCCUGAUGCAGCGACGCCGCGUGUGGGAAGACGGUCCUCUGGAUUGUAAACCACUGUCCCCAGGGACGAAGAUGACGGUACCUGGGGAGGAAGCUCCGGCUAACUACGUGCCAGCAGCCGCGGUAAUACGUAGGGGGCAAGCGUUAUCCGGAUUUACUGGGUGUAAAGGGAGCGUAGACGGUUAAUCAAGUCAGAAGUGAAAACCCAGGGCGCAACCUUGGGACUGCUUUUGAAACUGAGUAGCUAGAGUGCAGGAGAGGUAAGCGGAAUUCCUAGUGUAGCGGUGAAAUGCGUAGAUAUUAGGAGGAACACCAGUGGCGAAGGCGGCUUACUGGACUGUAACUGACGUUGAGGCUCGAAAGCGUGGGGAGCAAACAGGAUUAGAUACCCCGGUAAU